Scylla paramamosain (green mud crab) is the source of this 545-nucleotide long non-coding RNA. RefSeq lists it as uncharacterized. NCBI's taxonomy places the organism in Eukaryota, Metazoa, Arthropoda, Malacostraca, Decapoda, Portunidae. The transcript is spliced from 3 exons. The record is from RefSeq and is a predicted model, not a curated record.
CAUGAAAAGAGACACAUUACAUAAAAAAAUAAAGUGUAGUGAAUCAUAUUUAAAGUAGUAUACACAAAUAUGUAGCAAAUGUUGCUUCUUGCAGAAACCACUUCUAUAUACCUUUCCAGUGGGAUGUCUACAUGCAUUGACAUAUUAUCUAUCUCUAUGCAAGAAAUCUACAUAUGAACAUCCACAUUUACAUUAAGACACAGGAUGUUACAAAUAUGACAUGAUCCAGUAAAUAGAGAAGCAGGGGCUGAAGCACCUUGAUCCAGGCUGUGAUAGGUCUUGAGAUGCCUGCUGUCCCUGCAGCCUCCAUACUUGCCAAGAACACCCCUGCCUGUGGACACAAACACCAACUUUCUAACUGCCACUGAUGCUGCUGCUGCCGUCACUACUUCCAGCUCUUUUACAGUGAAGCUUGGUGUGUUGCUGGAGAAGAUCUCACCAUUCAGUGUGAGGGUGAACUGGUCAGCCUGGCCUGUUGUCAUGCCUGUGGUCAGGGUGAGGGGAGUGCCAGCCCUGAACACUCCCCCUUCACCCUCCCCGCCACC